AUGGAUGUGAUGAUUUUUUCCCCAGAUGAUUCGAAUCUGAAAUUACUGAGCGCUCUUUUGUGUAUUUUUUUCCCUUGAGGAGAAAAAUCCAAGCCAGAUGUUCUGAUCCGU
This 111-nucleotide small nucleolar RNA is filed under the name Genlisea aurea. RNAcentral describes it as "Small nucleolar RNA Z103". It matches the Rfam family "Small nucleolar RNA Z103". Rfam says of the family: This family consists of several snoRNA Z103 sequences which are members of the C/D class of snoRNA which contain the C (UGAUGA) and D (CUGA) box motifs. This family seems to be found exclusively in plants. The record is from Rfam by way of RNAcentral. Lineage: Eukaryota; Viridiplantae; Streptophyta; Magnoliopsida; Lamiales; Lentibulariaceae.